UGCCUGGGCCGCGCCGCCCCGCCCCGCCCUACCUGGGCGGGGUUGGGACCUUUCUGGCACCUGCAUCGAAGCCGGCGGCAGGGUGGACUUCGUUGUCCCGGUCCCAGACUACCCUCCUCCACCGCCGCCUCCCACUGCAAAAGGGCCUAGAUAAGGAACCUAAUUCGAGCUAUCCUUCUCUGUGAAGUCCGACGGCUGAGAACGUCAGGGCUCGUUCCCAGGUCUCUUUCCAGAGGCUAAGCUUUAUGCGAGCAUGGGUUACCAGCGAUGCAUCCUGUGAGUUUUCCUGUAUCAAUAUGUAUGGAGCGGUUCGGGAGCGGUGGCUCAUUCCUGUAAUCCCAGCACUUUGGGAAGCUGUGGCGGGAGGAUCGAUUGAGUUCAGGAGUUCGACACCACCCUGGGCAACAUAGCGAGACCACAUCUCUACAAAAAAAUACAAAAAUUAGCCCGGUGUGAUGGCGCGCGCCUGUAGUCCCGGCUACUCAGGAGGCUGUGGUGGAAGGAUUGCUUGAGCCCGGGAGGUCAAGGUUGCAGUGAGCUAUGAUCGCACCACUGCACUUCAGCCUGGGCAACAGAGCAAGACCUGGCAUUAAAACAAACAAAAAACGGGCCGGGCGCGGUGGCUCACAGCUGUAAUCCCAGCACUUUGGGAGGCCAAGGCAGGUGGAUCGCCUGAGGUCAGGAGUUCGAGACCAGUCUGGGCAACAUGAUGAAACCUCGUCUCUACUAAAAAUACCAAAAAUUAGCCGCGCGUGGUGGCGGGCACCUGUACCCAGCUACUUGGGAGGCUGAGGCAGGAGAAUCGCUUGAACCCGGGAAGCGGAGGCUACAGUAAGCCGAGAUCAAGCCAUUGCACUCCAGCACUCCAGCCUGGGCAGCAGAGCGAGACUCUGUCUCAAAAAAAGGAAAAAAAAAAAAAGAAGGGACUGAGGGACUGUAAGUGGUGAUACCAAAGGCAGCAUGGCCAUUUAGGAAGCUAGACUUGAGUGAGCAGUGGGCAAGAGAGAUUUUGAAGAUAUUUCCACUAGUAAUGGAGGAUCAUUUUAAAAAGCUGGGCUGUGGGUUGGGCUUUUGUUGUUGGGUGGUGUUGGCACUCACUGUGGUUGGGCAAAGGGGAGUAGCCCUU
RNAcentral lists this small RNA (1126 nucleotides) under Pongo abelii (Sumatran orangutan). RNAcentral describes it as "retained intron". The record is from RNAcentral. Lineage: Eukaryota; Metazoa; Chordata; Mammalia; Primates; Hominidae.